Triticum aestivum (bread wheat) is the source of this 185-nucleotide long non-coding RNA. RefSeq lists it as uncharacterized. The record is from RefSeq and is a predicted model, not a curated record. The transcript is spliced from 3 exons. Lineage: Eukaryota; Viridiplantae; Streptophyta; Magnoliopsida; Poales; Poaceae.
UAUUUAUUUUGGCUUGUUGUCUUUUUCCUUUUUUCAGGAACUUUCUGGUGAUGAAGGAGCCUUUGACAAAGCUCUUUUAAAGUUCUAUGUGAAUCAAAAAGUAAAAUCACUGAAGAGGAAGUUAUCAUCUGCUGGUAGAAGAAAUGUGAUUCAUGGUGCCAAAAAGGUCUGCAUGCCAGGGGUUU